CAGUCGCCACGGGAAUACGCAGGGGGCUAGCGUUGCUCGGAAUUACUGGGCGUAAAGGGAGCGUAGGCGGGUCGUUUAGUCAGAGGUGAAAUCCCGGGGCUCAACCUCGGAACUGCCUUUGAUACUGGCGACCUUGAGUAUGGGAGAGGUAAGCGGAACUCCGAGUGUAGAGGUGAAAUUCGUAGAUAUUCGGAAGAACACCAGUGGCGAAGGCGGCUUACUGGCCCAUUACUGACGCUGAGGCUCGAAAGCGUGGGGAGCAAACAGGAUUAGAUACCCCCGUAGUCCCUGUCUCUUAUAC
Molecule: ribosomal RNA, 301 nt
Filed under: uncultured bacterium
Lineage: Bacteria
Description: partial 16S ribosomal RNA
Rfam family: Bacterial small subunit ribosomal RNA
Source: RNAcentral